UGAGGAAUAUUGGUCAAUGGGCGUAAGCCUGAACCAGCCAAGUAGCGUGAGGGAAGACUGCCCUAUGGGUUGUAAACCUCUUUUGUGCGGGGAUAAAGUGUGGGACGUGUCCCAUAUUGCAGGUACCGCACGAAUAAGGACCGGCUAAUUCCGUGCCAGCAGCCGCGGUAAUACGGAAGGUCCGGGCGUUAUCCGGAUUUAUUGGGUUUAAAGGGAGCGCAGGCCGUCCUUUAAGCGUGCUGUGAAAUGCCGCGGCUCAACCGUGGCACUGCAGCGCGAACUGGAGGACUUGAGUACGCACGAGGUAGGCGGAAUUCGUGGUGUAGCGGUGAAAUGCUUAGAUAUCACGAAGAACUCCGAUUGCGAAGGCAGCUUACCGGAGCGCAACUGACGCUGAGGCUCGAAAGCGCGGGUAUCGAACAGGAUUAGAUACCCUGGUAGUCCGCGCGGUAAACGAUGGAUGCCCGCCGUUGGGAUUUGGAUUUCAGCGGCCAAGCGAAAGCGUUAAGUAUCCCACCUGGGGAGUACGCCGGCAACGGUGAAACUCAAAGGAAUUGACGGGGGCCCGCACAAGCGGAGGAACAUGUGGUUUAAUUCGAUGAUACGCGAGGAACCUUACCCGGGCUUAAAUUGCAAAGGAAUAAUCUGGAAACAGAUUAGUCUUCGGACCUUUGUGAAGGUGCUGCAUGGUUGUCGUCAGCUCGUGCCGUGAGGUGUCGGCUCAAGUGCCAUAACGAGCGCAACCCCUGUCCAUAGUUGCCAUCAGGUCGUGCUGGGCACUCUGUGGAGACUGCCGCCGUAAGGUGUGAGGAAGGUGGGGAUGACGUCAAAUCAGCACGGCCCUUACGUCCGGGGCUACACACGUGUUACAAUGGGGCAUACAGCGAGUUGGAUGUGCGCAAGUACGUCCGGAUCAAUAAAGUGCCUCUCAGUUCGGACUGGGGUCUGCAACCCGACCCCACGAAGCUGGAUUCGCUAGUAAUCGCGCAUCAGCCAUGGCGCGGUGAAUACGUUCCC
RNAcentral lists this ribosomal RNA (1017 nucleotides) under uncultured bacterium. RNAcentral describes it as "bacterial SSU rRNA". It matches the Rfam family "Bacterial small subunit ribosomal RNA", at positions 355 to 1375 of the family's 1533-position model. The record is from RNAcentral.